Psammomys obesus (fat sand rat) is the source of this 1021-nucleotide long non-coding RNA. RefSeq lists it as uncharacterized. The record is from RefSeq and is a predicted model, not a curated record. The transcript is spliced from 3 exons. Lineage: Eukaryota; Metazoa; Chordata; Mammalia; Rodentia; Muridae.
CUGAAGAUCCCUGAGCAGGUUUGUACAUGUGAGCACAGUGUUUGUGGAGGCCAGAAGAAGGCACAGGAGCCCAUGGAGCUGGAGUUACAGGACAUCCUGCUUGCCACCUCACAAUCUCAGGAUGGCAACUCCAGCACUUGGUAAAGAAAGGGGAAAGUCCAAGAGCACACAGCUACCUGAAUUCACACUUAUCCAGGAGUAGAAGCCCAACAAGGGAACCCAUAUUUUCGUGUCACAGAUCAGACAUUAGCUGAAAGGGAAGCAUACUGCCGCUCCAGAUGAAAACAGGGUUCUUCUACGGAGAGUGGAGGUUAUCGAUGGUACUAAAGUUAAUGCUGUACAUUUUAUCAUGACUGCUGAAAGUAAACAUGGGUGAAUUUCAGUACACACACACACACACACACACACACACACACAGUCAGGAAACAGUGAACUUGAGUUGAUAGGAUGGCUCAGUGGGUAAAGGUGGUUGUUGUCUGACCAGUUUACCUGAGUUUGAUCCCUGGGACCCACACAACAGAGGGAGAACAGACUCCAGUAAGUUUUCCUAUGGUGAAUGCACAUGUGUGCACGUGUACACACAAACACAUUAAAUAAAUAAAAUGUUUUAAAAGAUACAAAGCAUCCCAGCUGUGUCUUCAGGUGCGCUGUGGCAGCUGUGUCUUCAGGUGCGCUGUGGCCAGCCUUUUCCUUUUUUUUUCUUUGAGACAAAGUCUUUGCCAUGUAGGCGAGCCAGCUGGCCUUAAACUUAGAGAUUUACCUGUCUCUGCCUCCCAAGUGCUGAGAUUGAAAGUGUGCACCACUGGGUCUGGUCCUUUCCGUCAAUUUUGCCUUCUACCCUCCUCCUGGGUAAUCAAUGACUUGUUUCCUGUCACGACUGACAAAUGCAAAAGUUCUAGACCCUUUAAUAAAUUAAUCACAGAACAUAUACUUUUCUAUGUAGCUUCUUUUGCUCAAUUUUUUGAACCCAUGGAUGUUGUUAUAGGUAGUGGGAUUUCAUCCUUUCUAUUAUUAGGUGGUA